CGGCUCUCCGAGUGGUAGGGAUGAUUAUUGGGCUUAAAGCGUCCGUAGCCGGCUUAGCAAGUUUCCUGUUAAACCCAGCGACUCAAUCGUUGGAUCGCGGGAAAUACUACUAGGCUAGGAGGCGGGAGAGGUCAACGGUACUUCUGGGGUAGGGGUGAAAUCCUAUAAUCCCGGGAGGACCACCAGUGGCGAAGGCUGUUGACUAGAACGCGCUCGACGGUGAGGGACGAAAGCUGGGAGAGCGAACCGGAUUAGAUACCCGAGUAGUC
Molecule: ribosomal RNA, 269 nt
Filed under: uncultured archaeon
Lineage: Archaea
Description: partial 16S ribosomal RNA
Rfam family: Archaeal small subunit ribosomal RNA
Source: RNAcentral